RNAcentral lists this ribosomal RNA (208 nucleotides) under Macrolepiota excoriata. RNAcentral describes it as "5.8S ribosomal RNA". The stretch from base 6 to 159 matches the Rfam family "5.8S ribosomal RNA". Rfam says of the family: 5.8S ribosomal RNA (5.8S rRNA) is a component of the large subunit of the eukaryotic ribosome. It is transcribed by RNA polymerase I as part of the 45S precursor that also contains 18S and 28S rRNA. RNAcentral also lists the same sequence under 1 other name. The record is from RNAcentral. Lineage: Eukaryota; Fungi; Basidiomycota; Agaricomycetes; Agaricales; Agaricaceae.
UAUACAACUUUCAGCAACGGAUCUCUUGGCUCUCGCAUCGAUGAAGAACGCAGCGAAAUGCGAUAAGUAAUGUGAAUUGCAGAAUUCAGUGAAUCAUCGAAUCUUUGAACGCACCUUGCGCUCCUUGGUAUUCCGAGGAGCAUGCCUGUUUGAGUGUCAUUAAAUUCUCAACCCCUCUAACUUUUGUUGGAAGGGGCUUGGAUAUGGA